RNAcentral lists this transfer RNA (87 nucleotides) under compost metagenome. RNAcentral describes it as "tRNA-Thr". The record is from RNAcentral.
UAAUUUUAUAGAAAAAAGUAUUUUGCAAAAUUAGUGUUUUUUUAUGACCGAAAGUCAGUAAAUAUGGUGCAAAUCCGCGUAAAUUAG